Molecule: long non-coding RNA, 550 nt
Organism: Leptinotarsa decemlineata (Colorado potato beetle)
Lineage: Eukaryota; Metazoa; Arthropoda; Insecta; Coleoptera; Chrysomelidae
Source: RefSeq, a predicted model, not a curated record
UUCCAAUUAAUUGAAAUAUUUUUUCGUAGGUUAUGAAGCAAAUGAGUUACUCGUAGAAAUCGUCGACAGAGAUAAUGUGAAGGCUCUCGCUCAUUAUAAAGCAUUCGCUAUCGGUUCGGAAAAGGAAGGCUAUCCAUUGAGUACUUUGAGAGAUUGCACCGGUGAUGCUGGAGACGCUUUAACUCAUCAUUUGGGGUCAAAAUUCACUACGAAAGACUUCGAUCAAGAUUCAAAUCCGAGUAACUGCGCUAUAGCGUACAGUGGUGCUUGGUGGUAUAAAUCCUGUCAUCUGAGUAACCUCAAUGGCAAAUAUCUGAACGCCAAUCUCCCUGAACAAUACAAAUUUCAUGGAGUGCAUUGGAAUACAUUUAGAAGCCAUGAAUAUUGUCACGCAAGAGCCAGAAUGUUGAUCAGACCUGCGGUGUAACUGAAAUCAAGAGAUCAAAUGAAUUUGAAGCCGAAAUAUUUACGAAAGUUCUUGAACUUUGGAAACAAAAAAUAUCUGAAAUAAUAUUCUUACAGAUGUUAAUUGAAUGAAAUUUUAAUUUUU